This 551-nucleotide ribosomal RNA is filed under the name uncultured bacterium. RNAcentral's name for it is "partial 16S ribosomal RNA". It matches the Rfam family "Bacterial small subunit ribosomal RNA", at positions 355 to 895 of the family's 1533-position model. The record is from RNAcentral.
UGGGGAAUAUUGCACAAUGGGCGCAAGCCUGAUGCAGCCAUGCCGCGUGUGUGAAGAAGGCCUUCGGGUUGUAAGGCACUUUCAGCGAGGAGGAAGGUGGUGAGCUUAAUACGCUCAUCAAUUGACGUUACUCGCAGAAGAAGCACCGGCUAACUCCGUGCCAGCAGCCGCGGUAAUACGGAGGGUGCAAGCGUUAAUCGGAAUUACUGGGCGUAAAGCGCACGCAGGCGGUUUGUUAAGUCAGAUGUGAAAUCCCCGGGCUCAACCUGGGAACUGCAUUUGAAACUGGCAAGCUAGAGUCUCGUAGAGGGGGGUAGAAUUCCAGGUGUAGCGGUGAAAUGCGUAGAGAUCUGGAGGAAUACCGGUGGCGAAGGCGGCCCCCUGGACGAAGACUGACGCUCAGGUGCGAAAAGCGUGGGGAGCAAAACAGGAUUAGAUACCCUGGUAGUCCACGCUGUAAACGAUGUCGAUUUUGGAGGUUGUGCCCUUGAGGCGUGGCUUCCGGAGCUAACGCGUUAAAUCGACCGCCUGGGGAGUACGGCCGCAAGGUU